CAUGAAGUCAGGGUAAAGUGACUAGACAUCAGGAUAGAUAAUAAUAAGGUAUGAGGUUGAUAUGUACAUGAAGGCAGGGUAAAGUGACUAGACAUCAGGAUAGAUAAUAAUAAGGUAUGAGGUUGAUAUGUACAUGAAGGCAGGGUAAAGUGACUAGACAUCAGGAUAGAUAAUAAUAAGGUAUGAGGUUGAUAUGUACAUGAAGGCAGGGUAAAGUGACUAGACAUCAGGAUAGAUAAUAAUAAGGUAUGAGGUUGAUAUGUACAUGAAGUCAGGGUAAAGUGACUAGACAUCAGGAUAGAUAAUAAUAAGGUAUGAGGUUGAUAUGUACAUGAAGUCAGGGUAAAGUGACUAGACAUCAGGAAAGAUAAUACGAGUAAAA
Long non-coding RNA from Oncorhynchus keta (chum salmon), 382 nucleotides. RefSeq lists it as uncharacterized. NCBI's taxonomy places the organism in Eukaryota, Metazoa, Chordata, Actinopteri, Salmoniformes, Salmonidae. The transcript is spliced from 3 exons. The record is from RefSeq and is a predicted model, not a curated record.